CAAUCUGCAUGAACAUCGUUAAACCUUUACUACUAUCCCUCAAUCUACAUCACUAAGUUCUGAAAGCAAUAUUACAUAUAUUUUUCGUCUAUUUGAUAACCAUCUGAUCGGCACAAGAACAUUGUAGCUUUUGGACAAAAACAAGAAAUACACACUUCUUCAAAUAUAAGUUCAACCAGAAUGUCACUUGAAAACCUGCAGGACCUUGAUUUACCCAAGUACAAACAAACAUUUGGACUUAGAAUCGAAGUCGUGUUAAAGUGUCCAUGUACCUUAACUUAGUUCCCCAUAUAGGGAGGACCUCGCAGUUUAUUCUCUCGUUGUAGUUGCCAUUCUCUUUCUUGUAGAUACUGUAGAAGUGGUGGCUUCUCUACUCCCAAGUCUGUCCCGGUAACACAUCCAUAGGAGAUCGGCCUUUGGUAGCCAUGAAACAUCUUGUCCCUUCUUUGUUCCUCUACUCCGUAGAGAGGCAAAUUUGUGUUCAAAUGCGGGUUAUCCAAAUAAACCAUGGGGCUGGAAGGCAAAGGAUUGCCCCACCUGUCGAAAAAAUCAAACCUGGAAGCAUCAUGACUGUAGAAGUGUCUAAAGUCUCCUGGUGCAUUUACUUGAACUUGCCAUAUGCGAUCAUUAGCUUGUUCAACAAUAUGACUGUUCCUGUACUGGUAGAGCCAUUCACAUGUACCUUAACUUAGUUCCCCAUGUAGGGAGGACCUCGCAGUUUAUUCUCUCGUUGUAGUUGCCAUUCUCUUUCUUGUAGAUACUGUAGAAGUGGUGGCUUCUCUGCUCCCAAGUCUGUCCCGGUAACACAUCCAUAGGAGAUCGGUCUUUGGUAGCCAUGAAACAGCUUGUCCCUUCUUUAUUCCUCUACUCCGUGGAAAGAAGUGUCUAUUGGCAUUAGAUUUGUCCAUUUACAUUAGACACAAUAGGGAUAAGAUGUGUCUAUUGCCAUUAGACAAAUUUAUUUGGAUUAAGAUGUGUCUAUUAUCAAAAUACACAUCUAUUGACAUCAUAUAUAUAUAUAUAUAUAUAUAGAUGUUGCAUUGAUCAUUUCAAAGUGUAGGUUCAUUUGAAAUACACAACGAUAUACAUUCUCUUUUCUUGCAAAAUUUCUGACUUUAUCUGAUUGAAUUAUUUGAUGAACCACAAAUAACUUCAAUCUGAAAGUGUUCACACCUUCAGAAAAAUCCAAGUUACCACCAUAAAUACAAUAAAAUAUUCCAGCCUAUUAGUCUUUAUAUGGUAAAUGUUUUGACACUCACAAACGGUUAAAUUUGAUCAUAAAAAUUAAAAUAUUUACAAAUUCAGGCAAGUCACAAUCUGCAUGAACAUCGUUAAACCUUUACUACUAUCCCUCAAUCUACAUCACUAAGUUCUGAAAGCAAUAUUACAUAUAUUUUUCGUCUAUUUGAUAACCAUCUGAUCAGCACAAGAACAUUGUAGCUUUUGGACAAAAACAAGAAAUACACACUUCUUCAAAUAUAAGUUCAACCAGAAUGUCACUUGAAAACCGGCAGGACCUUGAUUUACCCAAGUACAAACAAAC
Molecule: long non-coding RNA, 1543 nt
Filed under: Daucus carota (carrot)
Lineage: Eukaryota; Viridiplantae; Streptophyta; Magnoliopsida; Apiales; Apiaceae
Description: long non-coding RNA (DCAR_LNC005740)
Source: RNAcentral